UUUAAAGCUAAAAAGGCCUGGACAGAUUUUCUACAGACUCAAGAAACCAUAAAUGCCACCCUAGACUACUAUAUUCAGCAAAACUUUCAAUCAUAAUAGAUGAAGAAAAGAUAUUCCAUGAUAAAACCAAAUUUAAGAAAUAUCUAUUUGCAAAUCUUUACUCACAAGGAAAGGAUAAAAAAAAAAAAAAAGGAAAACUCCAACCUAAAGGAUUAGACACACUUAAAAAUCAACAAAUUGCUUAUUGACAUCUCACAUCAAUGGUCUCAUUUCCCCAAUAAAAGGACACAGACUAACAGAAUUGAUGUGAAGACAGAAUCCACCCUUCUUUGCUUCCAAGGAACACACCUUAAUAUCAAGGAUAGAUAUCACCUUAGGGUAAAUGGAUGGAAAAAGUUAUCUAAGCAAAUAGAUCUAAGAAGCAAACUAGACUAGCCAAACAAAACUUCUGAUAAAAGAGACAUCACACCAAACAUUACAUCAGAAUAAACAGUUAGAAAAAGAUAUUCCAAGCAAAUGGUCCUCGGAAGCAAAUUGAUGUAGCCAUUUUUAAUAUCUGAUAAGAGAGGCUUCAAACUAAAACCAAUCAGAGGAAAUAGAAAAAGAUACUACAGACUUAUC
This 621-nucleotide long non-coding RNA is filed under the name Mus musculus (house mouse). Its description in RNAcentral is "long non-coding RNA chr14:75101099-75101720". The record is from RNAcentral. Lineage: Eukaryota; Metazoa; Chordata; Mammalia; Rodentia; Muridae.